Molecule: non-coding RNA, 73 nt
Organism: Danaus plexippus (monarch butterfly)
Lineage: Eukaryota; Metazoa; Arthropoda; Insecta; Lepidoptera; Nymphalidae
Source: the annotation of a RefSeq genome assembly
GGCUCGUUAGCUCAGUAGGUUAGAGCACCGAUCUAAAAAGUCGGGGGCGAAGGUUCGAAUCCUUCACGAGUCG